AGAGAGAGAGAGAGAGGGGGGGGGAGGAGGGAGAGAGAGAGGACUUGCAUUCACAAAUUCGAACAUUUUGAUUAGUUGUUAGACCGAUCAAACAACUUGAAUAAAACAGAGAACCAUAAGGAUUUGUAGGAAAUGCCUGAAAAUGGGCUUACACACAAAGCAUUUGGACCUAAUAAUGAAGUUUUACACAAUGCACAAUUGAGCAGGAUCUUUAAUGUACAAAAGGUUGGCAUCCUUUAAAAAAUAUGUUGGUGCAAAUUAAACUUCACACGCUCGAGAAAUCAGUCAACAGUUUCCUUAACUGCAGGCAAUGAAAUGAUCCAGAUAUUAACUUCAAAUGAUCCUUGUUUUCCAUCACUUCAGCUACAAAUCUUAAUAACAUUACAAAUAAAAGACAAUAAAAGAAAUUUACUUUCAGGCAUCCAUAUUAUAUAUUUAUAUUAUCAUGUUCAUUAACAACUACCAGAAAAAAAUUAAUCAACAUUUGUUUUCCACUGUUCUUUUAACAAUGCUGCCCUUUGCAUAACAUAAAUAUAUCAAUAGCUAAAUUUAUUCGUUCAGUAUUAUCGCAUAUAAUUCAAGCAUAAAACAUAAAUUCAACAGCACUGAAACGCCGUUAACAAGCAUCAAAGACACUAUAUCUGGCUAAAAAAAAUCCUCCAAAUCAUCAUCUAAUUACCUCAAACUAGUAAACAAUCUAAGAAACAUCCUUCAAUUUCCAAAAACACAAA
This 731-nucleotide unclassified non-coding RNA is filed under the name Hevea brasiliensis (rubber tree). Lineage: Eukaryota; Viridiplantae; Streptophyta; Magnoliopsida; Malpighiales; Euphorbiaceae. The record is from RNAcentral.